This 397-nucleotide ribosomal RNA is filed under the name uncultured bacterium. RNAcentral describes it as "partial 16S ribosomal RNA". It matches the Rfam family "Bacterial small subunit ribosomal RNA", at positions 360 to 774 of the family's 1533-position model. The record is from RNAcentral.
AAUAUUGCACAAUGGGGGAAACCCUGAUGCAGCGACGCCGCGUGAGUGAAGAAGUAUUUCGGUCUGUAAAGCUCUAUCAGCAGGGAAGAAAAUGACGGUACCUGACUAAGAAGCCCCGGCUAAAUACGUGCCAGCAGCCGCGGUAAUACGUAGGGGGCAAGCGUUAUCCGGAUUGACUGGGUGUAAAGGGAGCGUAGUAGGCGAGUCAAGACAGAUGUGAAAGCCCGGGGCUCAACCCCGGGAUUGCAUUUGAAACUGGUUUGCUAGAGUGCAGGAGAGGUAAGUGGAAUUCCUAGUGUAGCGGUGAAAUGCGUAGAUAUUAGGAGGAACACCAGUGGCGAAGGCGGCUUACUGGACUGUAACUGUCACUGAGGCUCGAAAGCGUGGGGAGCAAACA